UGGGGAAUAUUGCACAAUGGGCGAAAGCCUGAUGCAGCAACGCCGCGUGAAGGAAGAAGGCCUUCGGGUCGUAAACUUCUGUCCUUGGGGAAGAAGAACUGACGGUACCCAAGGAGGAAGCCCCGGCUAACUACGUGCCAGCAGCCGCGGUAAUACGUAGGGGGCAAGCGUUAUCCGGAAUUAUUGGGCGUAAAGAGUACGUAGGUGGCAACCUAAGCGCAUGGUUUAAGGCAAUGGCUUAACCAUUGUUCGCCCUGCGAACUGGGAUGCUUGAGUGCAGGAGAGGAAAGCGGAAUUCCUAGUGUAGCGGUGAAAUGCGUAGAUAUUAGGAGGAACACCAGUGGCGAAGGCGGCUUUCUGGACUGUAACUGACACUGAGGUACGAAAGCGUGGGGAGCAAACAGGAUUAGAUACCC
This 416-nucleotide ribosomal RNA is filed under the name uncultured bacterium. RNAcentral describes it as "bacterial SSU rRNA". It matches the Rfam family "Bacterial small subunit ribosomal RNA", at positions 355 to 787 of the family's 1533-position model. The record is from RNAcentral.